This 466-nucleotide ribosomal RNA is filed under the name uncultured soil bacterium. RNAcentral's name for it is "bacterial SSU rRNA". It matches the Rfam family "Bacterial small subunit ribosomal RNA", at positions 26 to 518 of the family's 1533-position model. The record is from RNAcentral.
AGAACGAACGCUGGCGGCAUGCCUAAUACAUGCAAGUCGAACGAGACCUUCGGGUCUAGUGGCGCACGGGUGCGUAACGCGUGGGAAUCUACCCUUGGGUUCGGAAUAACAGUUGGAAACGACUGCUAAUACCGGAUGAUGACGAAAGUCCAAAGAUUUAUCGCCCAGGGAUGAGCCCGCGUAGGAUUAGCUAGUUGGUGAGGUAAAGGCUCACCAAGGCUACGAUCCUUAGCUGGUCUGAGAGGAUGAUCAGCCACACUGGGACUGAGACACGGCCCAGACUCCUACGGGAGGCAGCAGUAGGGAAUAUGGACAAUGGGCGCAAGCCUGAUCCAGCAAUGCCGCGUGCAGGAUGAAGGCUCGGUUGUAAACUGCUUUGUACGAACGAAACGUUCUCUCUAAUACAGGGCUAAUGACGGUACCGUAAGAAAGUAAGCAACCGGCUAACUACGUGCCAGCAGCCGAC